RNAcentral lists this ribosomal RNA (275 nucleotides) under uncultured bacterium. RNAcentral's name for it is "partial 16S ribosomal RNA". It matches the Rfam family "Bacterial small subunit ribosomal RNA", at positions 773 to 1060 of the family's 1533-position model. The record is from RNAcentral.
GUGGAUUAGAUACCCUAGUAGUCCACGCUGUAAACGAUGAGCACUAAGUGUCGGGAAACCGGUGCUGAAGUUAACACAUUAAGUGCUCCGCCUGAGUAGUACGGUCGCAAGACUGAAACUCAAAGGAAUUGACGGGCACCCGCACAAGCGGUGGAGCAUGCCGUUUAAUUCGACAAUACGCGAAAAACCUUACCAAGACUUGACAUCCCCGGCAAAGCUAUAGAAAUAUAGUGGAGGUUACCCGGGUGACAGGUGGUGCAUGGUUGUCGCCAGCU